Long non-coding RNA from Leptopilina boulardi, 645 nucleotides. RefSeq lists it as uncharacterized. The record is from RefSeq and is a predicted model, not a curated record. NCBI's taxonomy places the organism in Eukaryota, Metazoa, Arthropoda, Insecta, Hymenoptera, Figitidae. The transcript has 3 exons.
CACAUGAGUGUAAUUAUAUUACACAUGAAAUUUGCAAUUGGAUGGAAAUACACUUGAAAAAUUUGAAGAGUUGACUUUGGGCGUGGAAUAUUGCCUCUUUCUGCGAGGAGAAUGGAUUCAAGUGAGGUGGCAGUUGAAGAUAAAAAUCUUUUUUCCUUACUCAGGUCCAAAAAGAAAAAAAAUCACUCGUACGUCUCCAAAAUUUUAGUUUUUGGGUUGGUCAUCUCACUUCUUGGCCUUUUUAAUUAUCUCACAGUGCGCCCACAAUAACAAGACAAAGGAUCAGUCGAUUCACCGACGACUCAGGUAGCUGGCCCGUUAUCCUUAUAUGCAGCUUCCAACCUACUCUCACGACAAGAAGAUUAGGGGGUGACAUUAUGACACGCCAUUGACGACCCUGGCGAGAGAACAGCUAUUUUCAAAACUAGAUCCUCUUUUAUGAUAACGGUUCAUCUCAGCUCGUUUCGAAUGCAACACGCAUAUUGAAUUCAAUGAAAUAGAGAAAAGGGAAGACAUUUAAGAUAUCCAUUUAAGAAGAAUAAUAUUUUAAAUGGAAAAAUUGGAGGUCAGUGUCGGUCCAGAAAAAAAAAUGCAUCAUCUGAAAAAUGUAGAAAAAAUAUUUCGCAGUUAGGACAACUUUAUAAA